AAUCAACGCUGGCGGCGUGCCUCAGACAUGCAAGUCGAACGAUUAAAGCUCUCUUCGGAGAGUGUAUAAAGUGGCGCACGGGUGAGUAACACGUAGGUAAUGUACCUUUGGGUGGGGAAUAACUUAGGGAAACUUAAGCUAAUACCGCAUAAUGCAGCGGCUCGACAUCGAGACAGUUGUUAAAGAUUUAUCGCCUAAAG
RNAcentral lists this ribosomal RNA (200 nucleotides) under uncultured bacterium. RNAcentral's name for it is "partial 16S ribosomal RNA". It matches the Rfam family "Bacterial small subunit ribosomal RNA", at positions 32 to 224 of the family's 1533-position model. The record is from RNAcentral.